This 616-nucleotide ribosomal RNA is filed under the name uncultured bacterium. Its description in RNAcentral is "bacterial SSU rRNA". It matches the Rfam family "Bacterial small subunit ribosomal RNA", at positions 338 to 948 of the family's 1533-position model. The record is from RNAcentral.
CCUACGGGAGGCAGCAGUGGGGAAUUUUGGACAAUGGGCGCAAGCCUGAUCCAGCCAUGCCGCGUGCGGGAAGAAGGCCUUCGGGUUGUAAACCGCUUUUGUCAGGGAAGAAACGCUCUGGGUUAAUACCCCGGGGUAAUGACGGUACCUGAAGAAUAAGCACCGGCUAACUACGUGCCAGCAGCCGCGGUAAUACGUAGGGUGCAAGCGUUAAUCGGAAUUACUGGGCGUAAAGCGUGCGCAGGCGGCUGUGCAAGACAGAUGUGAAAUCCCCGGGCUCAACCUGGGAACUGCAUUUGUGACUGCAUAGCUAGAGUACGGCAGAGGGGGAUGGAAUUCCGCGUGUAGCAGUGAAAUGCGUAGAUAUGCGGAGGAACACCGAUGGCGAAGGCAAUCCCCUGGGCCUGUACUGACGCUCAUGCACGAAAGCGUGGGGAGCAAACAGGAUUAGAUACCCUGGUAGUCCACGCCCUAAACGAUGUCAACUGGUUGUUGGGAGGGUUUCUUCUCAGUAACGUAGCUAACGCGUGAAGUUGACCACCUGGGGAGUACGGCCGCAAGGUUGAAACUCAAAGGAUUGACGGNNGAGAGAGCGAGACGACGACGAGGGAGGAGG